GCAUAUCAAUAAGCGGAGGAAAAGAAACCAACAGGGAUUGCCCCAGUAACGGCGAGUGAAGCGGCAACAGCUCAAAUUUGAAAUCUGGCUUCGGCCCGAGUUGUAAUUUGGAGAGGAUGCUUUGGGCGCGGCGCCUUCCGAGUUCCUUGGAACAGGACGCCAGAGAGGGUGAGAGCCCCGUACGGUUGGACUCCAAGCCUAUGUAAAGCUCCUUCGACGAGUCGAGUAGUUUGGGAAUGCUGCUCAAAAUGGGAGGUAAAUUUCUUCUAAAGCUAAAUACCGGCCAGAGACCGAUAGCGCACAAGUAGAGUGAUCGAAAGAUGAAAAGCACUUUGAAAAGAGGGUUAAACAGUACGUGAAAUUGUUGAAAGGGAAGCGCCUAUGACCAGACUUGCGCCCCGCGAACCACCCGGCGUUCUCGCCGGUGCACUUCGCGGGGCGCAGGCCAGCAUCGGUUUCCCCAGGGGGAUAAAGGCCGCGGGAACGUAGCUCCUCCGGGAGUGUUAUAGCCCGUGGUGUCAUGCCCUUGGGGGGACCGAGGACCGCGCUUCGGCAAGGAUGCUGGCGUAAUGGUCAUCAGCGACCCGUCUUGAAACACGGACCAAGGAGUCAAGCAUUAGGGCGAGUGUUUGGGUGCCAAACCCGCACGCGAAAUGAAAGUAAACGCAGGUGAGAGCUUCGGCGCAUCAUCGACCGAUCCUGAUGUAUUCGGAUGGAUUUGAGUAAGAGCCUUACCGCUUGGACCCGAAAGAUGGUGAACUAUGCCUGUAUAGGGUGAAGCCAGAGGAAACUCUGGUGGAGGCUCGCAGCGGUUCUGACGUGCAAAUCGAUCGUCAAAUAUGGGCAUGGGGGCGAAAGACUAAUCGAACCAUCUAGUAGCUGGUUACCGCCGA
Molecule: ribosomal RNA, 893 nt
Filed under: Leptographium calophylli
Lineage: Eukaryota; Fungi; Ascomycota; Sordariomycetes; Ophiostomatales; Ophiostomataceae
Description: LSU rRNA
Rfam family: Eukaryotic large subunit ribosomal RNA
Source: RNAcentral